CGGAUAAAAGGUACUCCGGGGAUAACAGGCUGAUACCGCCCAAGAGUUCACAUCGACGGCGGUGUUUGGCACCUCGAUGUCGGCUCAUCACAUCCUGGGGCUGGAGCAGGUCCCAAGGGUUUGGCUGUUCGCCAAUUAAAGAGGUACGUGAGCUGGGUUUAGAACGUCGUGAGACAGUUCGGUCCCUAUCUGCCGUGGGCGCAAGAGACUUGAGAGGAGCUGCCCCUAGUACGAGAGGACCGGGGUGGACGAACCUCUGGUGGACCAGUUGUUGCGCCAGCAGCAUUGCUGGGUAGCUAUGUUCGGACAGGAUAACCGCUGAAAGCAUCUAAGCGGGAAGCC
RNAcentral lists this ribosomal RNA (342 nucleotides) under Fragilariopsis kerguelensis. RNAcentral describes it as "partial Bacterial large subunit ribosomal RNA". It matches the Rfam family "Bacterial large subunit ribosomal RNA", at positions 2453 to 2794 of the family's 2925-position model. The record is from RNAcentral. Lineage: Eukaryota; Bacillariophyta; Bacillariophyceae; Bacillariales; Bacillariaceae.